UGCAUGGCACUGCCGUAUAUGCUCAAUUGCUCACUAUUGCCGUAUGCCGUAUCAUUCCCUUCCUUCAGUUUAUACACAUCACUCUCAUAUUCGUGCUUUUUAAAGGUUAUGGGCCGUGGUUAAUGUGAUGUGGAAGAGUGUGUUCGAGAACGUUUAGCCGCCAUUUUCUGUGAUCGAGCUCCUCUCGUGUUUUUCUCUUCUCUCUCUCCGUCCUCUUUUUCAACUUGUCCGUGGCUGCGAUGGCAGAAAAGGAAGCAACCGGAAAUUCUCUGCAGGGUGACGACUGAUAUGAGCUCAAGAAAAGUGAUCCUGCUGGUGCAGACUCCUAAAAAGAUCGACAAUCUAACUCAUGAAUUGGCGGAACAGUCUGCAACUCAGGAAGGUGUGAUAGCCGAGUCUGGAUCGACGGAGGCUAGAAGCUUUGGGUGGUACAACCAAAAAGAUUGUCAUUAAUAAGAUGAUGAGUAGUAGAGUUCGUGGAAUUCGAGAUCAGGAACGUGCUUGUUUCCGCAUGGGAUAGGCAGACAUUGAGGCAGGGAAAGAGACAUAUGUUGCUGCUGCAGUCGCACAUCACCGAGAGGGGAGGCGCACGCUGUACGGUCACGGCUUGAAUUCGGCCAGGCCACAUUGUAGCUGGUGGCACACAUGGAACAGCAAAUUUUUGAUAGAGGAGACGUAUACUACAGCCAGGAAAUGUUGGACUUGGUUAAUUUAAUAGAAAACAGUGGUGGAAUAAUUCGACUUACUCCUAUAAAACAACGCAUUCCAAGGAAAGGCCCUUUAAAUAGAAAGAUAUAUUCGAUUUACACCUCAACCGAAGAUAGAAAAUUAAAAUGUUUGAAAGAUAGAAAGAUAGAUUUAAUUGAUACCUCAACUAAAAAUAGAAAAUUUAAAAAUUUGAAAGACAAAAAAGAUACUCAACAGAAGAAAAUGGAGACUAAUGCGUGAUUUGGCUAGGAGUCAUCUACACGAGGAGGCUGAUGGGUCACUCCUGCAACCAACAGUAAAUAUCGGAGCGAACCGAGGUGGGGCAGGACCACGCCACACCACUCGAGUUGCAGCAGCAAAUUCAGCCUCUGCUAUCAUUCAAUUUUGUAAAUGCAAUGACACAGGCCAUACCUCAAAGGACGAGGAGGAGCAAAAUCUUCACAGAUGCUACACCUGCCAGAGCUUGAUAUAGAACAUCAGGGACCGCGUUAAGACUU
This 1205-nucleotide long non-coding RNA is filed under the name Copidosoma floridanum. RNAcentral describes it as "uncharacterized LOC106643673, transcript variant X1". Lineage: Eukaryota; Metazoa; Arthropoda; Insecta; Hymenoptera; Encyrtidae. The record is from RNAcentral.